AACCAAACCCAGCAUGAAGAUCCUUUAUCUGCUGUUUGCAUUUCUUUUCCUUGCAUGCCUGUCUCAACCAGGGAAUGCCCAACUAUCGUGUC
Non-coding RNA from Pseudonaja textilis, 92 nucleotides. The record is from RefSeq and is a predicted model, not a curated record. NCBI's taxonomy places the organism in Eukaryota, Metazoa, Chordata, Lepidosauria, Squamata, Elapidae.